Molecule: ribosomal RNA, 443 nt
Filed under: uncultured bacterium
Lineage: Bacteria
Description: partial 16S ribosomal RNA
Rfam family: Bacterial small subunit ribosomal RNA
Source: RNAcentral
CCUACGGGUGGCAGCAGUGGGGAAUAUUUGGCAAUGGGCGCAAGCCUGACCCAGCAACGCCGCGUGAAGGAAGAAGGCCCUCGGGUUGUAAACUUCUUUUAACAGGGACGAAGAAAGUGACGGUACCUGUUGAAUAAGCCACGGCUAACUACGUGCCAGCAGCCGCGGUAAUACGUAGGUGGCAAGCGUUAUCCGGAUUUACUGGGUGUAAAGGGAGCGUAGGCGGUAAGGCAAGUCUGAUGUGAAAGGCCAGGGCUCAACCCUGGGACUGCAUUGGAAACUGUUUAACUGGAGUGUCGGAGAGGCAAGUGGAAUUCCUAGUGUAGCGGUGAAAUGCGUAGAUAUUAGGAGGAACACCAGUGGCGAAGGCGGCUUGCUGGACGAUGACUGACGCUGAGGCUCGAAAGCGUGGGGAGCAAACAGGAUUAGAUACCCGAGUAGUC